CGACCCAUUAAAUAUUGAUCUAUAGACUAUGAGUGCGUUGCCUAUUAUACAAAAUUAUUCUUGUGAUAAUUUUUCGUGUGAUAGACGCCUCCAAGUUCUUGAUCAAUUGUUUGAUGGUAUUAAUAUGAUAAUAUUGGGCCGCGUUAUUAACGCAUUAAUAUCAUCACGAGUUAUAAAUAGGUUUGAAUUUUUUAAAUUUAAACAUAUUGAAUAUAUAGACUUGUGCUAUAUCUUUAAUACUAUUUAGCUGUCAGUUGAUGAAUAUUUUAAUUGGCUCUUGGAUAUGUGCUYACGUGCAUAUCUAUAUUUGUCAGCGACGCUUUAGCUUUGGGUACUUUCAGGACCCGUCUUGAAACACGGACCAAGGAGUCUAGCAUGUACGCUAGUCAUUGGGAAUAAUAUAUAUUUUUUCAUCGGAAUGUAUAUGAAUUUUAUGAAACCCAAAGGCGUAAUGAAAGUAAAUGGUUUUUAUAAAUCAUAAGGGA
RNAcentral lists this ribosomal RNA (485 nucleotides) under Micromus tasmaniae. Its description in RNAcentral is "partial large subunit ribosomal RNA". The record is from RNAcentral. Lineage: Eukaryota; Metazoa; Arthropoda; Insecta; Neuroptera; Hemerobiidae.